RNAcentral lists this small nuclear RNA (147 nucleotides) under Crocodylus porosus (Australian saltwater crocodile). RNAcentral describes it as "U1 spliceosomal RNA (ENSCPRG00005005076.1)". The record is from RNAcentral. Lineage: Eukaryota; Metazoa; Chordata; Crocodylia; Crocodylidae.
AGACACUGGUAGGGGAGACACCAUGAUCAAUCAGGUGGUUUUCCCAGGGCAGGUGGUUGUCUCUGAUAUGUCCUCCAUCGGAAGUCCUAUAUUGCGCAGAUUCUUUUUGGUGUUGGGUGGUGGAACAGGAGCUUGUUCCAUCCACUC